AACGAACGCUGGCGGCAUGCCUAACACAUGCAAGUCGAGCGAGCAGAUCCCUUCGGGGUGAAGCUAGCGGCGGACGGGUGAGUAACACGUGGGCGACCUGCCUCAUAGAGGGGAAUAGCCUUCCGAAAGGAAGAUUAAUACCGCAUAAGAUUGUAGCUUCGCAUGAAGCAGCAAUUAAAGGAGCAAUCCGCUAUGAGAUGGGCCCGCGGCGCAUUAGCUAGUUGGUGAGGUAACGGCUCACCAAGGCGACGACGCGUAGCCGACCUGAGAGGGUGAUCGGCCACAUUGGGACUGAGACACGGCCCAGACUCCUACGGGAGGCAGCAGUGGGGAAUAUUGCACAAUGGGGGAACCCCUGAUGCAGCAAUGCCGCGUGAGUGAUGACGGCCUUCGGGUUGUAAAGCUCUGUCUUCGGGGACGAUAAUGACGGUACCCGAGGAGGAAGCCACGGCUAACUACGUGCCAGCCGCCGCGGUAA
RNAcentral lists this ribosomal RNA (478 nucleotides) under uncultured bacterium. RNAcentral's name for it is "partial 16S ribosomal RNA". It matches the Rfam family "Bacterial small subunit ribosomal RNA", at positions 29 to 523 of the family's 1533-position model. The record is from RNAcentral.